Molecule: transfer-messenger RNA, 384 nt
Filed under: Bacteriovoracaceae
Lineage: Bacteria; Pseudomonadati; Bdellovibrionota; Bacteriovoracia; Bacteriovoracales
Also listed under: 1 other name
Description: BSW11-IV sp000447755 Standard tmRNA
Rfam family: transfer-messenger RNA
About the family: Bacterial tmRNA, also known as 10Sa RNA or SsrA, is named for its dual tRNA and mRNA-like properties.
Source: RNAcentral
GGGGGUGCCCUGGUUUCGACGGGCCAACUGACGGAUUGUCGGGCGUGUCCAGGUUGAUCUCCAAGGUCCUGGUUAAAAGGAGAUCAAACAAUAAUUGCAGAAUCUAAUUUUGCUCCAGCUAUGGCCGCUUAAUUUUUUAAACCGCCGUUUAAAUAGCUUGAGGGGUUAGCACCCGAUAAACAGAAGCUAACACAGCAGUGGUGACAACUGCCUAACUUGUCGCGAAGGAGUGGCCGUUAAUACCUUCUGAAAAAAUAUGCGGGGGUUGUCGCGUACGCAUCAUGCGAAUAGUCCCGUUCCUGGACAAGAACUCAGGAACUACGCACGUAGGCCGCUUUUUUGAUGUUGGUUCGGACGCGGGUUCGAUUCCCGCCACCUCCACCA